RNAcentral lists this ribosomal RNA (239 nucleotides) under uncultured bacterium. Its description in RNAcentral is "partial 16S ribosomal RNA". It matches the Rfam family "Bacterial small subunit ribosomal RNA", at positions 334 to 564 of the family's 1533-position model. The record is from RNAcentral.
CCGUCCCUACGGGACGCAGCAGUAGGGAAUCUUCCACAAUGGACGAAAGUCUGAUGGAGCAACGCCGCGUGAGUGAAGAAGGGUUUCGGCUCGUAAAACUCUGUUGGUAGUGAAGAAAGAUAGAGGUAGUAACUGGCCUUUAUUUGAUGGUAAUUACUUAGAAAGUCACGGCUAACUACGUGCCAGCAGCCGCGGUAAUACGUAGGUGGCAAGCGUUGUCCGGAUUUAUUGGGCGUAAA